Marmota monax (woodchuck) is the source of this 4048-nucleotide long non-coding RNA. RefSeq lists it as uncharacterized. The record is from RefSeq and is a predicted model, not a curated record. The transcript is spliced from 2 exons. Lineage: Eukaryota; Metazoa; Chordata; Mammalia; Rodentia; Sciuridae.
ACUAAAACAGUUUCUACAGAUCGAAAAGAAGAUGAUUUGACUCAAAUCCAUAACAGUUGAUAUCCAGAACUCCAGCUUGGCCAUUCUUACAUCUGCGACAGUGAUUAACCAGGAUGCUUUUUUCAAUAGCUAUUUUAUUAUUGCAUUUUUCCACAUCAUAAGGUUCUAUUUUUAUUUUUUGAGCUCAUACAAACCUAGGUUAAUGUUUUUCUGAUCAGUUUUAUUUUUUGACUGUGGAGUUUUUAAACAUUGCAAUGGAGAUUUCACCUAGGUAAAGCUACAAGGCCUUUACUAUUUUCUUAUGUGUUGUACGUUUGUGUACACUCUUGUGUUUUGUGUUGUAUGUCUGUAUGUGCGUAUGUCCAUAUUUCUUGUAUGAGGAGCGCUCAUGAAAAAAUGGAUCCGAAUUAUUAUUAUUUUUUUAUUCACGUGAUUUAAAUCGUUUAAUUUAAAUUAUGUAAACAGCUGUUAAGGAUUGUUUUUAAAGGUGGUUAACAGAUGUUUGUUUACUAAUUUAAAUUAGGUAAAAAGCUGUUAAGGAUUGUUUUUAAAGUAGGUUAACAGAUCUGUUUGUUUACUUUCACCUUUCCUUUUCAUUAUAUUUAAUAAUUCUUUUCAGGAUAAUGUCUCUUUAGCAUCAUUGCCAGAAUUCCUAUCUCCAUCCCAGUGCCGGUGAAGAACUCAACAAGUAAUGCUCAAUCAAAGAGUCAACUUACUUUGGGAGGAAACGGAUUUUGGGAGGAAAUGGACAUAUUGAUAGAUUCCUCUGCUUUGAACUGCUUGCAGAACUUGCCUGGACUAUGUAACUAUCGUUUGGUGCAGCGAAUUGUGGUAAUGCUGGCAUAUCUUUGCUGAUGGUGUCACUAGUGAUGCAAUUUUUAUUUCCUUGCCAGCGCACCCCAUGUUAAUUGUGGUAGUGCUGACAUAUCUUUGCUGGUGGUGUCACCAGUGAUGCAAUUUUUCCCAAGGAGCCGUCAAUUGGCUUGGUGUCGUGGCAUUUCUGAUUCCUCCUCCCUUCUGCUAGUGAUGGUCUAAAAUUUGGGGGCCAAUGGCUUAUGCUGGACCGGUAGUCAGUGACGGGUAUGAUCCAAUUGCAGUGGUAUCAACCUAAGACAGGAGGCUGACGCCUAAAGGUCAGUUUUCCGAUGACGGGUAAGAACCAUAUGUUGAAUUGGACAACCUACCAGGCACGGUCCAUAAGCCACAUUAACCUCACUCCCCCACUGGCACCAAGGCCAAAUUUGGGGGCCAACAGAGGUGAGGCAAAGAACCUCACCCCCCCACUGGUGCAUAGACCUAUCCACAAGUAUGGCUGUAUGCUGGACCGGUAGUCAGUGACGGGUAUGAUUCAAUUGCAGUGGUAUCAACCUAAGACAGGAGGCUGACGCCUAAAGGUCAGUUUUCCGAUGACGGGUAAGAACCAUAUGUUGAAUUGGACAACCUACCAGGCACGGUCCUUAAGCCACAUUGCUUGUUGUUUAAUUAAUCAGAAGGGGGGAGAUGCUGGGAGCCAUUAGCCAAGUAAGUAUGACAAUUUCCUUGCCAGCGUACCCCAUGUUGCAGUGACAUUGAAUGUACUUAACCUUGCUCAAGGACCAAGGCAGAUUAGGGUGUUCCCGGUUUUAAGAUAAUCUUGUUUAGGGCGUUCCCAGUUUAGGUUCCAGGUUUAAGGUUUAAGAUUAUUCCUGCUGGGAAUAGGGCGUAUCCUGCUGCCUGAGUUCCCCUUGAGUUCUCACGGGAUUCAGACAGUAUAUUUUGGAGAUAGAAGCCCAGUGGAGGUGAGUUUGGGAGAGAAGGUGGAUUUGGGAAGAGAACGUGGAUUUCCCCAGAACGUGUUUGUAGACGGCUGGUGUGAGUUCGGGAAUAAAGAGUUGCUGUUUGAAUCUACAAGCUGUGUGGUGGCUCGUGAUUGUGUGCCCAGCCAGACUGCGGCAUUUGUGCCCAGCCAGACGGCAUUUGUGCCCAGCCAGACUGCGGCAGAUAGUAAGUAUGUUUUUACGUAGAUAUUUGCAGUGUUGUGCAAAUAUUUUAUAAACUAAAUUACUACAUAAGUAAACAAUAAGGCAAACCAUUAAAAUUUCAUAAAAUACUGCCAGAUUGCCUUCCAAAAAUUAUUUGUAAUGAUUUCUAUUUUGAUGAAGGAUUUUAAUAUUGCUUUGAGUUGGCACUUUGUAAACAGUGAAAAUUUUGUCUUGUUUCUUUGAUUAUAUGAAUUACAAAAGAAUUUAUUUUACUAAUAAUCUGUCUUUAAUGUUCAGUUUUUCUCACAGCAUGGGAGUAAAUAAUGAGCUAUAUUGUUUAUCUAACUUGGUGAGCCAAAUAUUUACAGAUUUGCAAUUGUGAAAUCUCAACACCUUAGUCUUUUACUUGAUGGAAGUUCUUGUACAUAUUUGGUUUUUGUUGUACAUUAUUGAGCAAUUACUAAACAUACCAGCCAAUUCAAAAAUAUUCAGUUAUACACAUAUUAACACCAUAAUCUACCCAAAUAAAUCCCCACAAAAAAUAAAACUUCCUAUUUUGGGGGUUGUUUUUGGUUUUGAUUUUCUUUUUGUUUUUUGUUUUAUUUUUAUUUAGUUUUUAGUGAUUGAACCCAGGGCCUUGUGUAUGCUAAGCUAGAGCUCUACCACUGAGGUAUGCCCUUGGCCCAAAAUUUUCUGUUUUAAUUCCACUUUUGGUUUUAAUCCUUUCUAAAUAAAGCUCACAGAAAUGCCUGGAAGUUGGACUGGGGAUGUGGCUCAAGCGGUAGCGCGCUCGCCUGGCAUGCGUGCGGCCCAGGUUCGAUCCUCAGCACCACAUACAAACAGAGAUGUUGUGUCCGCCGAAAAAUAAAAAAAAAAAAAAAAAAGAAAGAAAUGCCUGGAAGCACAAAUGAACUAUUUUUGCCCAUUUUUUCUUGAAUAUUGUGAAUGUAGACUUCUUUCCUAUAAAUUCCAGCUGAGUUUCUAAAUGUUUUACUAUGAUAAUCUCCAUCUCCUCACUCCCACCAGUCCCAGGACUGCCACUAGAGUGCAGAUCUAUAGGCAAAUACUUUUUAAAAUGAUCUUAUCUAUAUAAACUACUUAAAUAAAGAUGUAUCAUAAAAUUCAUAGUUCAUGUGCAAGUGGUAUUGUGGUUUACUGAAGAUUUGGAAUAAUGGGCUAUUAGUUUAUUGUCCAGUCAGAGCAUGUAAAAUCCUUCUUUUUUAAAAUAUUUUUUUAGUUGCUGAUAGACCUUCAUUUAUUUAUAUGUGGUGCUCAGAAUCAAACCCAGUGCCUCACACGUGCCAGGCAAGUGCGCUACUGCUGAGCCCCAGCCCUGUAAAAUCCUUCUUGAUACCGAGGUAUCAUCUCUUCUUGUUUGGUCCAGGAGUUAUUUCUUUAUUUCCUUUAUUAUCAAAUAAGCCAUUCCUUGUCAACUUCAUACCUGUCACUACAAAAAAGGGGUAACAAUACUGUUAUUACUUAUAAUGCUAUGGCUCUUUGUAACAUGUUUAUAUUGGAAUAAUAUGAAUUUUCUACUUCUGAAAUGUCUGUUGUGGUUUGGAUGAGAGGUGUUCUGCAAAAGCUCACAUGUGAGGCAAUGCAAGAAAGAUCAAGCCUGAUAGUGGUAACUGAAGCGGUAGGGUGUGGCUAGAGGAGGUGGGAACUGGGAGCGUGGCUUUGGGGUAUAUAUUUGUAUCUGGCGAAUAGAGACCUCUCUCUGCUUUCUGAUCACCAUGUGAGCUGCUUUCCUCUGCCACACUCUUCCACCAUAAUGUCCUGCCUCACCAGGAGCCCCAAGGAAUACAUUCUGCUGUCCAUGGACUAAGACCUCUGAAACCGAAAGAACAGGUAGAGAGUGAACAGAGAAACCAAGAAGCAUAUUCCAAGUGCCAUUUGUUUCUCUGCCAGCCCCUCAGAGACAAGAUCUGAGAAAGGCCACUGCCAGACCAUCUUGGCCCUUGUUGAAGUAGAGGUCUCAGCACUGCUAGGUUUAUUGUUUUUGACUUUUCUUCCUUUUCCUCUCUUGAGGGCUUGAAGGUAUACUUUUACUGGGAAUAAAAUAAAACCUUAAACCUUUUCAUUUGAAA